This 103-nucleotide microRNA precursor is filed under the name Marmota monax (woodchuck). The record is from RNAcentral. Lineage: Eukaryota; Metazoa; Chordata; Mammalia; Rodentia; Sciuridae.
AGUAAAAUUGCCAGGUCAUUUGGUAACUCCAUGUUUAACAUUUUGAGAAAUUGUCAAACUGUUUUCCAAAGUGGCUGCACCAUUUUACAUUGCCACCAGUAAU